GAGCACGUAGGUGGGUUUGUGAGUCAGAUGUGAAAGCCUUCUGUUCAACGGAAGAAUUGCAUCUGAAACUGCGAGUCUUGAGUGUAGGAGGGGAGAAUGGAACUUCUGGUGGAGCGGUGAAAUGCGUAGAUAUCAGAAGGAACGCCGGCGGCGAAAGCGAUCCUCUGGCCUAUUACUGACACUCAGUGUGCGAAAGCUAGGGGAGCAAACGGGAUUAGAUACCCCGGUAGUCCUAGCCGUAAACGAUGGGCACUAAGUAGAGGGGUUUU
RNAcentral lists this ribosomal RNA (269 nucleotides) under uncultured Planctomycetales bacterium. RNAcentral's name for it is "partial 16S ribosomal RNA". It matches the Rfam family "Bacterial small subunit ribosomal RNA", at positions 565 to 832 of the family's 1533-position model. The record is from RNAcentral. Lineage: Bacteria; Pseudomonadati; Planctomycetota; Planctomycetia; Planctomycetales.